Molecule: unclassified non-coding RNA, 211 nt
Filed under: plant metagenome
Description: partial contains small subunit ribosomal RNA and internal transcribed spacer 1
Rfam family: Eukaryotic small subunit ribosomal RNA (bases 1-46)
Source: RNAcentral
AAGUCGUAACAAGGUUUCCGUAGGUGAACCUGCGGAAGGAUCAUUCCAACAGGAUACCCUCACCGGGUAUUACCCCACCCGUGUCUAUUUACUCUUGUUGCUUUGGCAGGCCGUGGUUACCCACUGCAGGCUCUGCCUGCAUGUGCCUGCCAGAGGACCAAACUCUGAAUUUUGAGUGAUGUUCUGAGUACUAUAUAAUAGGUUAAAAACC